UACGAAGGGUGCAAGCGUUACUCGGAAUUACUGGGCGUAAAGCGUGCGUAGGUGGUUUGUUAAGUCUGUUGUGAAAGCCCCGGGCUCAACCUGGGAAUGGCAAUGGAUACUGGCAGGCUAGAGUGCGGUAGAGGGUAGUGGAAUUCCCGGUGUAGUGGUGAAAUGCGUAGAGAUCGGGAGGAACACCAGUGGCGAAGGCGGCCGGCUGGGGGUGACCUGACGCUGAGGCGCGAAAGCGUGGGGAGCGAACCGG
Molecule: ribosomal RNA, 253 nt
Filed under: uncultured bacterium
Lineage: Bacteria
Description: partial 16S ribosomal RNA
Rfam family: Bacterial small subunit ribosomal RNA
Source: RNAcentral